AAUUUUGAACGAGUGGCGGACGGGUGAGUAACACGUGGGUAACCUGCCCUUAAGUGGGGGAUAACAUUUGGAAACAGAUGCUAAUACCGCAUAAAUCCAAGAACCGCAUGGUUCUUGGCUGAAAGAUGGCGUAAGCUAUCGCUUUUGGAUGGACCCGCGGCGUAUUAGCUAGUUGGUGAGGUAACGGCUCACCAAGGCAAUGAUACGUAGCCGAACUGAGAGGUUGAUCGGCCACAUUGGGACUGAGACACGGCCCAAACUCCUACGGGAGGCAGCAGUAGGGAAUCUUCCACAAUGGACGCAAGUCUGAUGGAGCAACGCCGCGUGAGUGAAGAAGGCUUUCGGGUCGUAAAACUCUGUUGUUGGAGAAGAAUGGUCGGCAGAGUAACUGUUGUCGGCGUGACGGUAUCCAACCAGAAAGCCACGGCUAACUACGUGCCAGCAGCCGCGGUAAUACGUAUGUGGCAAGCGUUAUCCGGAUUUAUUGGGCGUAAAGCGAGCGCAGGCAGUUUUUU
RNAcentral lists this ribosomal RNA (515 nucleotides) under Lacticaseibacillus rhamnosus. Its description in RNAcentral is "bacterial SSU rRNA". It matches the Rfam family "Bacterial small subunit ribosomal RNA", at positions 83 to 584 of the family's 1533-position model. Lineage: Bacteria; Bacillati; Bacillota; Bacilli; Lactobacillales; Lactobacillaceae. The record is from RNAcentral.